CUUUUGAUACUUUGGUUAAUCCCUUUAUAGUCUGCAAUUAGAUUGCUCGCGAUUUAUUGAGGAUAGAGGGAGAGAGAGAGAGAGGGAGAGACCACGGCGGCCGGCGAAGUCUGUCUGCUCUUGAUCCAUCGAGUUGCAGGUGACCUAUUAUUUUACAUAGGCUUAAAUGAAUAAGAGUGAAGAUUCUGGUAGCCCAGGAUGGGGCGCUUCACUAUUCAUGCAAACUGAAGAUGUCGCUAGAACGUUCUUUUCUGUUGCUUCAGCUGCAACUGCUGGGUCACCACGCCCUUCUGCAGUUUUCUCAUCUGGAGACAUGAAUGUUGACAGUCACUUUCAGAAAUUGCAACGCCGUGCUUCAAGAUUGUUGAAGGGGUUUUCAUCUUCUCCAGAACAGAAGGGAUCUUACAAUCCUGAAGUCCUUACAAGUCAGAAACGUCAAUGGGCUGGAUUUCAGUUACGAUCUUCGGAUCAACGAGCUGUGAAGGAGCCAUCAAAAUUAUUUGAGAGCAUGGUUGUUGUUGGACUUCAUCCUAAUGCUGAUGUUCAAGCCCUUCGAAAGAUUGUUUUAGAUAGAAAUAAUAGUGAUCCAAAGAGAAGAAGCUUACUAAACUACCACCAUCAAGUUCACUCUGAAUCAGUUAUUGCACCACAGGUUCUGUUUGUCUAUCCUCCAGAUAAACAAGUGCCUUUAAAGUAUAAGGAUCUUCUUUCAUUCUGCUUUCCUGGAGGUGUCGAGGUGCAUGCUGUGGAAAGAACUCCUUCGAUGAGUGAGCUGAAUGAAAUAAUGCUGGGGCAGGAACAACUUAAGCAAAGUAACCAGUCAUUUGUUUUCCGUUUAAAGGCUGCUGAUAAUUCAACAUUAUAUGGAUGUUGCGUUUUGGUUGAAGAACUUCUACAAAGCCCUUCAAGUUUGGUUUCGUUGCUUAUAGGGGACAAACCAUGUUCAUCACCAUUAAGCCGUCAUAUAUUGACUACAUCACGCUGUUACUGCAUCUUAUCAAGGCUUCCAUUUUUUGAUCUGCAUUUUGGUAUACUGAGAAGUAUCUUUAUUGAAGAAAGGUUGGAAUGGCUUACAAAAGGCUCUGAAAUGCUAAAUCUGCUGUCUACAGAAGAAACGUCCGAGGAUGGAAGGGUGCUUGAUAUCACUUAUAACUCACCAGAGGAAGAGUAUACUGACGAGGAAGGUGUAAGGCAAACGAGAGAUUUUGAUUCAAUGCCUGAAGCUACUUCUAUGGAAGUUUGUAAAAUGCUAGAGGAAGAGUAUGGUGCUAAGGAAGGAGAAAGGCAGACAAGAGAUUUUGAUUCAGCUUCUAAAGUUACUCCUAAGGAAGUUUAUAACUCACCUGAUGAAGAGUAUGCUGCCAAGGAAGGAUUAAGGCAAGCAAGAGAUUCUGAUGCAACUUCAGAAGCUUCUCAUAAGGAAGUAACUGUCAGCAAGGAUCAUGAUUCAGACCCAACAAUUUCUAUCCAAGAAACUGCAAUUUUGGCAGCUUACCAAGAAUCAAUGGACCUUACUGAAAUAGAAAAUGGAGACAUUAGACAAAACAAUCUUGACGACUCUAUUAAUAAAAGUGAUGCAAACAAGCAGCAGAUGGAUGCAAUAGAUACUGUUUUGCCACUUUUCCAUUGUCCUGCUUAUGAAAGUUCUGAAUCCUCCAGCAGUUUACAGGGGUCUCCAUGCGAAGGUAUAAAUCUGAGGAGAAAUAAUGAUGAUUCAGAUCUGGAAGAACCAUCUUCUUCUGGUCAAGAAGAUCUAAAUCGCCACAGUAAAAUUCUUGAAUGGGCCAAGGCAAACUGCAAUGGAUCCUUACAGAUUAUUUGUCAGUAUUAUGGUCUAGAAUGUCCUGCUAGAGGAUCAACACUAACAUUUAAGCCUCUAGAGCACUUACAUCCGUUGGAUUUUCAUAGGCCUGGUGAAACGGUUCUUCAUAUUGCUGGCUCCACUAUUGAUAUAAGAUCUGGAUGUACAAGCUUAGAAAUGACUGAGGUGCAUCAUUCUCUUUUAGCAGAAGAGGAGGCGACUGCUCUAUCUGUAUGGACAGUUGCAACAUUAUGUGGGUGUUUAGGACUUGACCGUAUAUUGGUGAUGCUUGCUGGAGCACUUCUGGAAAAGCAAAUAGUUGUUGUUUGCUCGAAUUUGGGAGUCUUAUCAGCUUCAGUAUUAUCAGUUGUCCCAUUAAUACGUCCUUAUCAGUGGCAUAGCCUACUAAUGCCAGUUUUGCCAAAUGACAUACUGGACUUUCUUGACGCGCCUGUUCCAUACAUUGUAGGCAUAAAAAACAAAACUACUGAUAUACAAUCAAAGUUGACAAGUGUUAUUCUUGUUGACGCGGACAAGAACCAGGUUAGGUCAUCCUGGAUGCCCCAACUGCCACAGAAGAAAGAACUUUUCUCAUCACUAAGUCCUUACCAUGCAAAGCUUGUUGGUGAAAGUUAUUUGGCCCGUAGAAGACCUGUGUAUGAGUGCACAGAUGUCCAGAUUGAAGCUGCUAAAGGUUUCUUGGCAGUUAUUAGGUCAUAUCUUGAUUCAUUUUGCUCGAACCUACGAUCCCACACAAUAACAAAUGUUCAAUCAAACAAUGACAAGGUUUGCUCUCUGAAUUUGACAAUGUGCUCAUCUCCAAUGUUGUUAUUUCAUUGUAUUCCAACUAUGUUUUUUAGUAUGACCAUGAUCUCUGUAAUUGUCUUAAAAUCAGAAGCCCUGACCAGGUCUCCUAAAGAUUCAUGUGAACCUCCAUUCGAAGUGGAAACAACUGCUGUGACAAAGAAAAUCAUAUACAUAAUACUAUAAUACUACCAAGAUAAAUCAAUCUUAUUAGUUAGAUUACCUAUAACAUGGCUUGUUAACUUUCUGCUUUGUGCUUAUCUACAGGUUUCAGUGCUGUUGAAAGAUAGUUAUAUUGAUUCGUUUCCAUAUCGUGACAGACCCUUUAUGAAGCUUUUUGUGGAUACACAGCUUUUCUCAGUACAUACAGACCUUGUUCUCGCAUUCUACCAAAAGGAUUAAGAUAACGCUGGAGAUUUGGCGGUUGA
This is an RNA transcript of Zingiber officinale, 3033 nucleotides long. RefSeq lists it as uncharacterized. The transcript is spliced from 18 exons. NCBI's taxonomy places the organism in Eukaryota, Viridiplantae, Streptophyta, Magnoliopsida, Zingiberales, Zingiberaceae. The record is from RefSeq and is a predicted model, not a curated record.